UACGUAGGGGGCAAGCGUUGUCCGGAUUUAUUGGGCGUAAAGAGCUCGUAGGUGGUUCGGUAAGUCGGAUGUGAAAUCUCCAGGCUCAACCUGGAGGGGUCAUUCGAUACUGCCGUGACUAGAGGUCGGUAGGGGAGUGUGGAAUUCCUGGUGGAGCGGUGAAAUGCGCAGAUAUCAGGAGGAACACCGGUGGCGAAGGCGGCUUGCUGGGCCUUACCUGACGCUGAGGAGCGAAAGCGUGGGGAGCGAACAGG
This 254-nucleotide ribosomal RNA is filed under the name uncultured bacterium. RNAcentral's name for it is "partial 16S ribosomal RNA". It matches the Rfam family "Bacterial small subunit ribosomal RNA", at positions 524 to 776 of the family's 1533-position model. The record is from RNAcentral.